RNAcentral lists this transfer RNA (77 nucleotides) under Pantoea sp. Sc1. RNAcentral's name for it is "tRNA-Asp". The stretch from base 20 to 77 matches the Rfam family "tRNA", at positions 1 to 55 of the family's 71-position model. From Rfam's summary of the family: Transfer RNA (tRNA) molecules are approximately 80 nucleotides in length. Their secondary structure includes four short double-helical elements and three loops (D, anti-codon, and T loops). Further hydrogen bonds mediate the characteristic L-shaped molecular structure. tRNAs have two regions of fundamental functional importance: the anti-codon, which is responsible for specific mRNA codon recognition, and the 3' end, to which the tRNAs corresponding amino acid is attached (by aminoacyl-tRNA synthetases). tRNAs cope with the degeneracy of the genetic code in two manners: having more than one tRNA (with a specific anti-codon) for a particular amino acid; and 'wobble' base-pairing, i.e. permitting non-standard base-pairing at the 3rd anti-codon position. Lineage: Bacteria; Pseudomonadati; Pseudomonadota; Gammaproteobacteria; Enterobacterales; Erwiniaceae. The record is from RNAcentral.
CAGCUGUGAAAGAACCGGUGGAGCGGUAGUUCAGUUGGUUAGAAUACCUGCCUGUCACGCAGGGGGUCGCGGGUUCG